This 1444-nucleotide long non-coding RNA is filed under the name Sus scrofa (pig). Its description in RNAcentral is "lncRNA (ENSSSCG00015041364.1)". Lineage: Eukaryota; Metazoa; Chordata; Mammalia; Artiodactyla; Suidae. The record is from RNAcentral.
CUACAGGGCUACUGGCAGGAGGACCGACCGGAGUGGAUAGUCGAGAGGGCCGUUCCCUCGCGGUCUUCCCCAGGGCCCCCGCACACCUGGGCAGAAGUGCUGGGGUCUGUGGGUGUGAGAGCGAUGCUCGAAAAGGCGCGCUCCAGGGCUAGGCUCCAGGGUGCGAAGGCUCGAGGCUGACGCUAGGGGGCAAGGAGAGGUGGCAGGGACAACAUCCGCGAGUGGGGACCCUCGGACCGCGGGAGUCUGGAGAAGUGCGGGCGCCGCGGACCUGUCACAGUAGAGACUGUACAGCGCGGAGGGAGGCGGGCUACGCCGAGCUUCCAGCUCCGCUGGCCCAGCUCGGGGCUCCGGGGAAAGGAGCAGCGGCGGCUCCGCCUCCUCGGCAUUGGGCGCGGCCUCCUCCUGCUCCCGCCCAGCAGAGACCACGAGUCCCAGGGCUCCCCUCCAAGGACAUCAGCAGCCGCCACGGCCCCGUGCUGACCCACUUUCCCUCCCGCCCGCCGAGCCCCAGGCAGAGAAUAAACAGGGCAGCCGAGCAGGAUAACAGAUCUGCCACUGGACAGAGGCUGCUGAGCUGAUGCUUCCCAGACAGCCUUGCUGUUGAGUGUGUUUUCAUGAUAGUAGUUACGAAGUUUUCAUGAAGUAGUUGGUGAGUAGUUCUCACCAAUGGAGUAAAGGAGACUUGAGGUGGAAGCCACGUUAGUGCCUGGGCCCCUCUCCAUGCUGCCUAGAGUCUGGCUGUGGCAGCAGCCCUUCUGGGAGGGAGCAGUGCCCUCAUGGUCAGUGAGCAACAGGAGGGAAGGAGUCUGGGGCCCUGAGUAGCCAUCAGGAGCCCAGCUGCUCCUCCUCUCAGAAUGGUAAUCUAGAAAGAAACUGCAGUGUGUAGUUUUAUGUGUUUACUUUGCUGGGCAGCAGUGCCCAGCUAUCUGGUUAGGCAUGAUUCUAGAUGUUUCUGUGAAGAUAUUUUUUUAGAUGAGCUUAACAAUUAAGUUAGCAGACUUUUACAUUUAAAGUAAAGCAGAUUGCACAUCAUAAUAUGGGUGGGCCGCACCCAAUCAGUUGAAAGUCUUAGAAGGAAAAAAAAGACAUCUCCUGAACAUGAAGGAAUUCCAACUGUAACUUCAACUCUUCCAGCUUUCUCUCUCUCUCCCUCUCUCUCUCUCUCUCUCACACACACACACACACACACAGACACCUAUACCUUAAAGUUCUUUGUCUUCAUAUGACUUUCUAGGAAUUUUGCAUAUUAAGCACUUUAUCCUUUAGAUGAUUAUUUGCAUGACAGAUAAUUUUUUGUUGUCAGUGUCUUAUCUCUUCAUUUUGUUUGGGGUGGCUUUCAUCCUAGAGAAUGUAUUAGUUACAACUCUUUUUUCAUUUUUUUUUUAUUUUAAUGGAAAUUAAUUUUUUUCUAGUCAAAUUUUUACCUUUUUUUUUUUUUUUU